GGGGCUAUCGCAUAACCUGGCAGUGCGCUGGGCUCCAGACUCAGCGGUCAGGGUUCAAAUCCCUGUAGCCCCA
This 73-nucleotide transfer RNA is filed under the name Microcaldota archaeon. RNAcentral's name for it is "tRNA-Trp". It matches the Rfam family "tRNA". From Rfam's summary of the family: Transfer RNA (tRNA) molecules are approximately 80 nucleotides in length. The record is from RNAcentral. Lineage: Archaea; Nanobdellati; Microcaldota.